RNAcentral lists this long non-coding RNA (999 nucleotides) under Aquila chrysaetos chrysaetos. Its description in RNAcentral is "lncRNA (ENSACCG00020009187.1)". Lineage: Eukaryota; Metazoa; Chordata; Aves; Accipitriformes; Accipitridae. The record is from RNAcentral.
GGAAGUGGUGCCAGGAAUAGCCCGGCAGAUCCGCCUGCAGCCCGGAGCGCUCCCUCCCGCCUCGGCCAGGGCGGGCUGCGGCUCCCGGGCCUCCGCCUCUCUCUCCCCCGUGCAACACCAGCCCCUCCGGCACUGUCAGGGUGACGGUGAUGAUCCUUUCCAAAAAGAGGGAGAGAAAUGACCUGCCUUAAGAUAAAUGCGUGAAGCGGGCGCCCCUUGGCCGCUGGAAUAUCUCUAUCUGUCUUUAUAUAUAAAGAAGCACCGCGAGCCACCUCACUCCAGGCAAGCCCUUAGCAAAGGAGCAACAAGAGCGCCCGGCGGGAUCAGCAACAACAACAACAACAAGGGCACCGGGAGGGCUUCCCUCCUUCCUCCUCGGUGACUUCCCAGUUCUGUCCUAAUAUGCUUACGGAGUCUGAAAAAUGCAACUCUAAUAUACAAGAAAUAUCAGCCUGCACACAAAAAAUUGUAAAGAAUAUCUCUGUUCUUAAAAAUGUGGGACCCUCUUCUGAUAUGUGAUCUACAGCAAGCUACUUUGAAUCGUACGAUGACAAUGUUAUCACUGCCACAUCUCUGGGAACCAGUUAUUCAUAAGUAUACGGUGGAAGAGAGAGUCAACAGCCAUAUUUGCUGGAGCGGUGAACCAAAUUGCCUUGACUGGAACCAUUACUCACUUGCACAUUUGACAGCAGCAGCCAGGUGAAAGCUUGCAGUCUGAUUCCAUUGCUAGAUAUGGGACGAUAGGAAGGCACAUUUUCUCUGAAGACGGGAGCAUGCAAUGCUGCCAAACCAGCAGUCCCAGGCGCCCUGCAGGGAAUGAUUCUUGCAGCAGAGCGAGAUUGCACAAGCUGUGGUGUGGAGGACUAGCUGCUUUAUUCUGGCUGAGAAACCUUUGAAGAUACUGGUCCUAAUUCUCUACCGCCUGAAACCUUUUGCUAUUUAUACCUGGGUAAAGUGAAUGCCGAGCGAGCAUAAAAUGCCUCUACCCUAGUGCUAAAG